AUUGAACGCUGGCGGCAUGCUUUACACAUGCAAGUCGAACGGCAGCGCGGGCUUCGGCCUGGCGGCGAGUGGCGAACGGGUGAGUAAUGCAUCGGAACGUGCCCAGUAGUGGGGAAUAGCCCGGCGAAAGCCGGAUUAAUACCGCAUACGACCUGAGGGUGAAAGCGGGGGACCGAAAGGCCUCGCGCUAUUGGAGCGGCCGAUGUCGGAUUAGCUAGUUGGUGGGGUAAAGGCUUACCAAGGCGACGAUCCGUAGCUGGUCUGAGAGGACGGCCAGCCACACUGGGACUGAGACACGGCCCAGACUCCUACGGGAGGCAGCAGUGGGGAAUUUUGGACAAUGGGGGCAACCCUGAUCCAGCCAUGCCGCGUGCGGGAAGAAGGCCUUCGGGUUGUAAACCGCUUUUGUUCGGGAAGAAAUCCUCUGGGCUAAUACCCCGGGGGGAUGACGGUACCGGAAGAAUAAGCACCGGCUAACUACGUGCCAGCAGCCGCGGUAAUACGUAGGGUGCGAGCGUUAAUCGGAAUUACUGGGCGUAAAGCGUGCGCAGGCGGUUGUGCAAGACAGAUGUGAAAUCCCCGGGCUUAACCUGGGAACUGCAUUUGUGACUGCACGGCUGGAGUGCGGCAGANGGGAGUGGAAUUCCGCGUGUAGCANUGAAAUGCGUAGAUAUGCGGAGGAACACCGAUGGCGAAGGCAGCUCCCUGGGCCUGCACUGACGCUCAUGCACGAAAGCGUGGGGAGCAAACAGGA
Molecule: ribosomal RNA, 754 nt
Filed under: uncultured bacterium
Lineage: Bacteria
Description: bacterial SSU rRNA
Rfam family: Bacterial small subunit ribosomal RNA
Source: RNAcentral